Loxodonta africana (African savanna elephant) is the source of this 468-nucleotide non-coding RNA. NCBI's taxonomy places the organism in Eukaryota, Metazoa, Chordata, Mammalia, Proboscidea, Elephantidae. The record is from the annotation of a RefSeq genome assembly.
AUGCCACUCUCCAGACCACUGUGGGUGCUCCUGGCCUUGAUCUACUCUGGAUCCAUUGUGGCCCAGAAAGUUACUCAAGUCCAGCCAGCUAUAUCCAGGCAGGAGGGGGCGGCCGUCACUCUGAACUGUCUCUAUGAAACAAGUUGGACGAAUUACUAUAUUUUCUGGUACAAGCAACUUCCCAGUGGUGAGAUCACUUUACUUAUUCAUCAGGAUUCUUCUAAGCCGAACUCAAAGGAUGGUCGCUAUUCCCUAGAUUUCCAAAAAAAAGAUAAAUCUAUCAGCCUCACCAUUUCAACCUUACAGCUGGAAGAUUCAGCAAAGUACUUCUGUGCUCUCCGGGAACCCACAGUGUUUGAAGUGAUAGUGAAAGCUGAACAAAAACCCCAGGGCUCAAUAACAGAGCGCUCCCUGCUGCAGGGUCGGGGCGGAAAUGCGCACCUGCAGAUCCCAGACAAGAAAUGGUAG